GGAUGUUCAUAACCCUUUGUUGUCCGACUCUGUUGCCUCCGGGGCGACCCUGCCUCCGGGCGGGGGCUCCGGGUGGACACUUCAAACUCUUGCGUAACUUUGCAGUCUGAGUAAACUUAAUUAAUAAAUUAAAACUUUUAACAACGGAUCUCUUGGUUCUGGCAUCGAUGAAGAACGCAGCGAAAUGCGAUAAGUAAUGUGAAUUGCAGAAUUCAGUGAAUCAUCGAAUCUUUGAACGCACAUUGCGCCCCCUGGUAUUCCGGGGGGCAUGCCUGUUCGAGCGUCAUUUCACCACUCAAGCCUCGCUUGGUAUUGGGCAACGCGGUCCGCCGCGUGCCUCAAAUCGACCGGCUGGGUCUUCUGUCCCCUAAGCGUUGUGGAAACUAUUCGCUAAAGGGUGUUCGGGAGGCUACGCCGUAAAACAACCCCAUUUCUAAGGUUGACCUCGGAUCAGGUAGGGAUACCCGCUGAACUUAAGCAU
Molecule: ribosomal RNA, 481 nt
Filed under: Cladosporium sp. KDB-2015a
Lineage: Eukaryota; Fungi; Ascomycota; Dothideomycetes; Cladosporiales; Cladosporiaceae
Description: eukaryotic LSU rRNA
Rfam family: 5.8S ribosomal RNA (bases 133-286)
Source: RNAcentral